UACGUAGGGUGCGAGCGUUAAUCGGAAUUACUGGGCGUAAAGCGUGCGCAGGCGGUUAUGUAAGUCAGGUGUGAAAUCCCCGGGCUUAACCUGGGAACUGCAUUUGUGACUGCAUAGCUAGAGUACGGUAGAGGGGGAUGGAAUUCCGCGUGUAGCAGUGAAAUGCGUAGAUAUCGGAAGGAACACCAGUGGCGAAAGCGGCUUCCUGGUCCAGCACCGACGUUCAGGCACGAAAGCGUGGGGAGCAAACAGG
Molecule: ribosomal RNA, 253 nt
Filed under: uncultured bacterium
Lineage: Bacteria
Description: partial 16S ribosomal RNA
Rfam family: Bacterial small subunit ribosomal RNA
Source: RNAcentral